This 462-nucleotide ribosomal RNA is filed under the name uncultured bacterium. RNAcentral describes it as "bacterial SSU rRNA". It matches the Rfam family "Bacterial small subunit ribosomal RNA", at positions 28 to 507 of the family's 1533-position model. The record is from RNAcentral.
GACGAACGCUGGCGGCACGCCUAACACAUGCAAGUCGAACGGAGAAAAUAGCUUCGGUUGUUUUCUUAGUGGCGGACGGGUGAGUAACACGUGAGGAACCUGCCUCUGAGAGUGGGAUAGCUUCUGGAAACGGAUGGUAAUACCGCAUAACAUAGCGAAACCGCAUGAUUUUGCUAUCAAAGUAUUUCGCUCAGAGAUGGCCUCGCGUCUGAUUAGAUAGUUGGUGAGGUAACGGCUCACCAAGUCGACGAUCAGUAGCCGGACUGAGAGGUUGAACGGCCACAUUGGGACUGAGACACGGCCCAGACUCCUACGGGAGGCAGCAGUGGGGGAUAUUGCACAAUGGGGGAAACCCUGAUGCAGCGAUGCCGCGUGGAGGAAGAAGGUUUUCGGAUUGUAAACUCCUGUCGUAAGGGAAGAGGAAGGACUGUACCUUACAAGAAAGCUCCGGCUAACUACGUG